GACUCCGUCUCAAAAAGAAAAAAAAAGAAAAAGAAAAAAGACUUAGAAAGCUCUAAUUUUUCUCAAAGUUACUCUACCAACCAGCAGUGGUAGAGCAAGAACUGAAACCGUAUCUUUUCUCUUCAAGCAGGGUUCUUUGUAUUCCACAUACAGUGGAAAAGUGGUAAAUACCAAACUAAAUAGCAUGGUUGGGAACCAGACAUAGACAUGCAGGAAUGACAAUAAAAUUUCAGAGUUAAAAAAUCACCAAUCUAAUCCCCUUCCCAUUUACGAUUCUAUCCGCCCCCUACCCAUCUCCCGAAGGAAUUGACAUGUAGUCUCUGAACAGCUCCAACAACAGAAGACUGUCUCAGGAGAGACAAGGUCUUGCUGUGUUGCCCAGGCUGGAGUGCAUUGGCUGUUAACAGGCACAAUCAUGCCACACUGCAGCUUUCGAACUGUUGGGCACAAGUAAUCCUCCUGCCUCAACCUCCCAUUAACUGUACCAUUCAAUGGUUCCAGGCGCGGUGGUUCAUGCCUGUAAUCCCAGCACAUUGGGAGGCCGAGGCGGGCGG
Piliocolobus tephrosceles (Ugandan red Colobus) is the source of this 554-nucleotide long non-coding RNA. RefSeq lists it as uncharacterized. The record is from RefSeq and is a predicted model, not a curated record. The transcript has 3 exons. NCBI's taxonomy places the organism in Eukaryota, Metazoa, Chordata, Mammalia, Primates, Cercopithecidae.